Azospirillum sp. CAG:260 is the source of this 96-nucleotide non-coding RNA. The record is from Rfam. NCBI's taxonomy places the organism in Bacteria, Pseudomonadati, Pseudomonadota, Alphaproteobacteria, Rhodospirillales, Azospirillaceae.
UACGGAGGACGAUGGGUUAACCCUUCGCCAACCCGGUCAGGUCCGGAAGGAAGCAGCCGUAACGAAACCGGUUAAGGUCAUUCGCCCUCCACCACU